GGAGGAGGGAGGAGUGUGCGUGCCGGCGAGUGGCGGAGGAAUGGCUUUGUCACAGCUGUGAGCAGCCACCCGCGCUCCCUGCCUUAUCUCCGGGCACAUUCUCGGCGACGGGGGAGCCUGAUGUUUUCUUUUUUCUCCGUAACGCUGGCCCUGGGUUGCUCUGUUACAAGGCUUGGAUGGAAGGGCAGUUAAAUGGAAACGUCUCAGCGGUGGCAGCUAGAAAAAGCCAGGAAAAAUAUGCAUCUAGCUCCCAACCCCCCCUCCCGCCAACAGAAUAUCGUGCCAGGGGAUUGGGACAUCUUCAUUUAUAGGAAAAACAUCCCCAGAUGAACAAUUUGCCACGGUUCCAAACAGAGCGGCCGUAUUUCCAUUCCUUCUCUAGUAUCGAGCUGUAGCAGCAAGCUUAAGCUUAAGCGCUUUACCGUGAGACAACAAGGUUCCUGACCUCGGGAUCUCACAAUCUAGCACCUAUCUCUGCUUGUCAUCCAUGAAUGGGAACCUGCUACCUGGAAAGUCAGUCAGCUUAUGCACCUAAGCUGCUUCUUGGGGGAAUGAGUUAGGCCUCAUGCUGCACAAAACAACGAGGAGGAGGAGGGCUUACAACUUUUAGCCUAGGGCAAUGGUUUCCAAACUUUAACAACCUGUGAACCCCUUUCAAUAAAUGUCAAGUCUUGCGAA
Long non-coding RNA from Gopherus evgoodei (Goodes thornscrub tortoise), 678 nucleotides. RefSeq lists it as uncharacterized. NCBI's taxonomy places the organism in Eukaryota, Metazoa, Chordata, Testudines, Testudinidae. The record is from RefSeq and is a predicted model, not a curated record. The transcript is spliced from 2 exons.